RNAcentral lists this unclassified non-coding RNA (353 nucleotides) under soil metagenome. Its description in RNAcentral is "partial contains 5.8S ribosomal RNA, internal transcribed spacer 2, and large subunit ribosomal RNA". The stretch from base 4 to 119 matches the Rfam family "5.8S ribosomal RNA", at positions 39 to 154 of the family's 154-position model. The record is from RNAcentral.
GAUAAGAACGUAGCGAAAUGCGAUAAGUAGUGUGAAUUGCAGAAUUCAGUGAAUCAUCGAAUCUUUGAACGCACAUGGCGCCUUCCAGUAUCCUGGGAGGCAUGCCUGUCCGAGCGUCGUUUCAACCCUCGAGCCCCCGUGGCCCGGCGUUGGGGAUCUGCCCAGGCAGUCCCCGAAAACCAGUGGCGGACCCGUUACAGGCCCUUCCCUUGCGUAGUAGCAUUCGCCUCGCAUCGGGAGCCGGCGGGCUUCCAGCCUCUAAACCCCCAUCAAGUCCGCCCCGGCGGCACCAAGGUUGACCUCGGAUCAGGUAGGAAUACCCGCUGAACUUAAGCAUAUCAAUAAGCGGAGGA